RNAcentral lists this ribosomal RNA (375 nucleotides) under uncultured Fusibacter sp. RNAcentral's name for it is "bacterial SSU rRNA". It matches the Rfam family "Bacterial small subunit ribosomal RNA", at positions 1009 to 1382 of the family's 1533-position model. Lineage: Bacteria; Bacillati; Bacillota; Clostridia; Eubacteriales; Fusibacteraceae. The record is from RNAcentral.
AGAUUUUGCCUUCGGGUACAAUUGAGACAGGUGGUGCAUGGUUGUCGUCAGCUCGUGUCGUGAGAUGUUGGGUUAAGUCCCGCAACGAGCGCAACCCUUGUGUUUAGUUGCAAACAGGUCAAGCUGUGCACUCUAGACAGACUGCCGUGGACAACACGGAGGAAGGUGGGGAUGACGUCAAAUCAUCAUGCCCCUUAUGAUCUGGGCUACACACGUGCUACAAUGGCCGGUACAACGGGCAGCGAAGGAGCGAUCCGGAGCGAAUCCUAAAAAGCCGGUCCCAGUUCGGAUUGCAGGCUGAAACUCGCCCACAUGAAGUUGGAGUUGCUAGUAAUCGCGAAUCAGAAUGUCGCGGUGAAUGCGUUCCCGGGUCUU